Molecule: long non-coding RNA, 1093 nt
Filed under: Pan troglodytes (chimpanzee)
Lineage: Eukaryota; Metazoa; Chordata; Mammalia; Primates; Hominidae
Description: long non-coding RNA NONPTRT007773
Source: RNAcentral
CUCCCUGGCAUGUGGGAGGCUGCGUUUUCUACUUCUCUCUCCAACGAGGAAAAUUUAAUGGGAGCACAGGAGAGUCCUAGAGUUUUCCAGCUGGGGAGGGAAGGUGUCAGAGUUAAGAUUCAAACCAACCUCCUGAAUUCCUUGCCUACUUUUCUUGCCACUGAAUCAUGAAAGCCACGUGUGACACUGAGAAAUGCCUAUCACUCCAGCAACUCCAAAGGGGCAGAGCAUUCAAGGACUAUUUCUGGAGGAGAUUAACGUUUCCAUAAGUAAAUUCUGGGAAAAGCAGGUUGCCCUCCCUACUGUAGGUGGGCCUUAUUCAAUCAACUGAAGACCUGAACAGAAGAGAAAGGCUGGGUAAGAGGGAACCUCAGCUGCCUGUGUGAGCUGGGACACUGACCUUUUCCAGCCUUCAGGCUUGGACUGAAACAUUGGCUCUUCAUGGGUCUCGAGCCUGCUGGCUUUCACACUGGAACUUACACAGUCUGCUCUCCUGGGUCUGUAGUUUGCCAAGUGCAGAUCUUGGGACUACUCAAUCUCUAUAAUUGCAUGAGCCAAUUCCUGAAAAUAAAUACACACACACACACACCACAUACACAUGCACACACACACACACAAAUGCACACACACACACAUACCACAUACACAUGCACACACACUUUCUUUUCUUUAGGCAUUGUGUAGCUCUGAGAGCUUUCUAUGUAUCUGGCUUCUACGGUGACUCAACUCCUGAUAACAGUUUUUAAUAUUGUUUCUCAUGUAUCAGCCUUGUACCUUAAUGAAAGUAGAUACCAUAGUUUCUCUUUCCUAUAGGCUACUCCUCCAGGCUGGGCACAUGCCUAGUUCUUGUUGAAUUCCCUUCAGCAGAAUAUGGGGUAAAUAUGUGACAAUAUUGAUGAAGAUCAAAGACACCACUUCUUAAAGGCCUAUGGCAAUGAUCUCCAAUUUUGUCCUCCAAAAUUAAGUGUCUCUGAUAAAUCACUCAACAUGGAGGUCCAUUCUUUAUCUUACUUUCAUCUCUCUUGCCAUAAUCUGUGUCUGAUUCAAUUUGGAGCAAUUUAUGUGCUCCUGAGAAUGGAGAAUGGGUGAGCAG